UGAAUUAUUAAAGGGCCGCGGUAUUUCUGACCGUGCGAAGGUAGCAUAAUCAUUAGUCUUUUAAUUGAAGGCUUGUAUGAAAGGUUGGACGAGAGAGAAGCUGUCUCAAUUAGAAUUUUGAAAUUAACUUUUAAGUGAAAAGGCUUAAAUACAUUGAAAAGACGAUAAGACCCUAUAAAUCUUAAUAUUAACACAGCUUAAGUCCUUAAUUUAUUUAUUAACAGGGAUAUUAAACUGGGAGUAUUCUGUUGGGGCGACAAUAAUAUAAAAUGAUUAUCUGUUUUACUUUUAAUACAAUUAUUUUUGUUCAGGAAGAUCCCCCUUAGGGAUUAAAAGAUCAAGUUACUUUAGGGAUAACAGCGUUAUUCUUCUUGAGAGUCCUCAUCGAAAGGAGAGUUUGCGACCUCGAUGUUGAAUUAAAAUUUCU
This 427-nucleotide ribosomal RNA is filed under the name Dardanus lagopodes. RNAcentral describes it as "partial 16S ribosomal RNA". It matches the Rfam family "Bacterial large subunit ribosomal RNA", at positions 1913 to 2547 of the family's 2925-position model. The record is from RNAcentral. Lineage: Eukaryota; Metazoa; Arthropoda; Malacostraca; Decapoda; Diogenidae.